Molecule: ribosomal RNA, 458 nt
Filed under: uncultured bacterium
Lineage: Bacteria
Description: partial 16S ribosomal RNA
Rfam family: Bacterial small subunit ribosomal RNA
Source: RNAcentral
CCUACGGGGGGCAGCAGUGGGGAAUAUUGCACAAUGGGGGAAACCCUGAUGCAGCGACGCCGCGUGAGUGAAGAAGUCUUUCGGUAUUUAAAGCUCUAUCAGCAGGGAAGAAAUAGCGACCUUUGGGUCGCCAGACGGUACCUGACUAAGAAGCCCCGGCUGACUACGUUCCAGCAGCCGCGGUCAUACGAAGGGGGCAAGCGGUAUCCGGAUUUACUGGGUGUAAAGGGAGCGUAGACGGCAGCACAAGUCUGAAGUGAAAUGCCGGGGCUUAACCCCGGAACUGCUGUGGAAACUGGGCAUCUAGAGUGCAGGAGAGGUAAGCGGAAUGCGUGGUGUAGCGGUGAAAUGCGUAGAUAUUAGGAGGAACACCAGUGGCGAAGGCGGCUUACUGGACUGCAACUGACGUUGAGGCACGAAAGCGUGGGGAGCGAACAGGAUUAGAUACCCCUGUAAUC